Molecule: small nuclear RNA, 106 nt
Organism: Heterocephalus glaber (naked mole-rat)
Lineage: Eukaryota; Metazoa; Chordata; Mammalia; Rodentia; Bathyergidae
Source: Ensembl
GUGCUUGUUUCAGCAGCACAUAUACUACAAUUUGAACAACAUAGAGAACAUUAGCAUGGCCCCUGCAUGAGGAUGACAUACAAUUCAUGAAACAUUUCAUAUUUUU